Molecule: ribosomal RNA, 620 nt
Filed under: uncultured bacterium
Lineage: Bacteria
Description: bacterial SSU rRNA
Rfam family: Bacterial small subunit ribosomal RNA (bases 1-534)
Source: RNAcentral
CCUACGGGAGGCAGCAGUAGGGAAUAUUGGUCAAUGGACGAAAGUCUGAACCAGCCAUGCCGCGUGAAGGAUGAAGGUCCUCUGGAUUGUAAACUUCUUUUAUCUGGGACGAAAAAAGGGCUUUCUAGCUCACUUGACGGUACCAGAGGAAUAAGCACCGGCUAACUCCGUGCCAGCAGCCGCGGUAAUACGGAGGGUGCAAGCGUUAUCCGGAUUUACUGGGUUUAAAGGGAGCGUAGGUGGGCAGGUAAGUCAGUGGUGAAAUCUCUGGGCUUAACCCGGAAACUGCCAUUGAUACUAUCUGUCUUGAAUAUCCUGGAGGUAAGCGGAAUAUGUCAUGUAGCGGUGAAAUGCUUAGAUAUGACAUAGAACACCCAUUGCGAAGGCAGCUUACUACGGGAUUAUUGACACUGAGGCUCGAAAGCGUGGGGAUCAAACAGGAUUAGAUACCCUGGUAGUCCACGCCCUAAACGAUGGAUACUCGACAUCAGCGAUACACUGUUGGUGUCUGGNGAGAGANAGUAGUACUCCNCGACGGAGUAACGACCGACGUUAGUUAGUAACGUUAACGAAGUAAGUUAGACGGNGNGAGAGCGACGACGACGACGACGAGGAGGAGG